RNAcentral lists this ribosomal RNA (161 nucleotides) under Eremosphaera viridis. RNAcentral describes it as "5.8S ribosomal RNA". It matches the Rfam family "5.8S ribosomal RNA". From Rfam's summary of the family: 5.8S ribosomal RNA (5.8S rRNA) is a component of the large subunit of the eukaryotic ribosome. It is transcribed by RNA polymerase I as part of the 45S precursor that also contains 18S and 28S rRNA. The record is from RNAcentral. Lineage: Eukaryota; Viridiplantae; Chlorophyta; Trebouxiophyceae; Chlorellales; Oocystaceae.
AGACAACUCUCAACAACGGAUAUCUUGGCUCCCGUAUCGAUGAAGAACGCAGCGAACUGCGAUACGUAGUGUGAAUUGCAGAAUUCCGUGAACCAUCGAAUCUUUGAACGCAGAUUGCGCCCGAGGUUUCGGCCGAGGGCACGUCUGGCUCAGAGUCGGUC